Molecule: ribosomal RNA, 439 nt
Filed under: uncultured bacterium
Lineage: Bacteria
Description: partial 16S ribosomal RNA
Rfam family: Bacterial small subunit ribosomal RNA
Source: RNAcentral
CCUACGGGUGGCAGCAGUGGGGAAUUUUGCGCAAUGGGGGAAACCCUGACGCAGCAACGCUGCGUGCGGGACGAAGGCCCUCGGGCUGUAAACCGCUUUCAGCAGGGAAGACAUCGACGGUACCUGCAGACGAAGCUGCGGCUAACUACGUGCCAGCAGCCGCGGUAAUACGUAGGGGGCGAGCGUUAUCCGGAUUCAUUGGGCGUAAAGCGCGCGUAGGCGGCCGCCUAAGCGGAACCUCUGACCCCGGGGCUCAACCUCGGGCCGGGUUCCGGACUGGGCGGCUCGAGUGCGGUAGAGGAGAGCGGAAUGCGCGGUGUAGCGGUGGAAUGCGCAGAUAUCGGGAAGAACACCGAUGGCGAAGGCAGCUCUCUGGGCCGUCACUGACGCUGAGGCGCGAAAGCUGGGGGAGCGAACAGGAUUAGAUACCCCUGUAGUC